UACAGGGGGGGCGAGCGUUGUUCGGAAUUACUGGGCGUAAAGGGUUUGUAGGUGGCUUGCUCAGUCAGACGUGAAAUCCCCAGGCUUAACCUGGGAACUGCGUCUGAUACUGGAUGGCUUGAAUUCGGGAGAGGGAUGCAGAAUUCCAGGUGUAGCGGUGAAAUGCGUAGAUAUCUGGAGGAAUACCGGUGGCGAAGGCGGCAUCCUGGACCGAUAUUGACACUGAUGAGCGAAAGCCAGGGGAGCAAACGGG
This 253-nucleotide ribosomal RNA is filed under the name uncultured bacterium. RNAcentral describes it as "partial 16S ribosomal RNA". It matches the Rfam family "Bacterial small subunit ribosomal RNA", at positions 524 to 776 of the family's 1533-position model. The record is from RNAcentral.